This is a long non-coding RNA of Halichondria panicea, 1536 nucleotides long. RefSeq lists it as uncharacterized. The transcript is spliced from 5 exons. The record is from RefSeq and is a predicted model, not a curated record. Lineage: Eukaryota; Metazoa; Porifera; Demospongiae; Suberitida; Halichondriidae.
AGAGUAUGAGGACAUACUGCUGUACAAGACUGCUGCCAGCAAUGCUGGCCAGAAGAAAUACAGAGACGGGCUUUCCACUAAUGACAAGAGAAGUAUAAGAGACAAAACUCAAAGAUAUGCUCUGCAGCAACAAUGCUUAUACCUGCCUGAGAAGGACAGCACUGGCAUGCAUAGAAUGAGAAGAGUUGUGGUGAAGCAAGAGGAGAAAAGCAGGAUACUAAACAUGUGCCACGGUGGACUGGAUGGGAUGCAUUUUGGGAGAGACAAGACCUAUGGAAAGGUUGCUCAGGAUUUCUACUGGAAAGGCCUACAUGCUGACGUCAUACAGCUCUGCAAGCACUGCGACAAAUGCCAACGAACGAAUCACCAACUGCAGAAGCCCAGAGCAGAACUACACCCCAUCCCUGUGACAAAGGUCUGGUACAGAGUUGGUAUUGACUUGGUAGGACCUCUACCUGAAACAAGCUCUGGAAACAAGUACAUUAUCACCCUCUCAGACUAUUUCUCUAAGUGGCCUGAGGCUGCCCCACUCCCAUCAAAAUCAGCAGAAGGUGUAGCAAAAUUUCUGUUUGACACAUUUUGCAGGCAUGGGUGGCCAAAAGUGAUUCAAUCAGACCAAGGAAGAGAGUUUGUCAACGAAAUCAACACCCGACUUUUUCAGUUGACUGACAUACAGCACUGCGUAUCAAGUGCUUACCACCCACAAACAAAUGGCCUUGAUGAACGCUUCAACCAGACUCUAUAUAGUGAACACUCUCAAGAAGGUAAUCGAUUCUAUAGUACUGAUGACUGGGAUUAGCAUCUCUCUGCUGCUCUUUAUGCCUAUCGCAUAUCAAAACAGGCGUCAUCAAAGUACACACCCUUUUUCCUAAUGUUCAAUCGCCACCCGCGUAAAGCUGUUACUUUUGAUAUGGAUCAACGAGAUGGUGUCGACGCUAUAGAAGAUAGAGGAGAUGCUGACCAAUUGAGUGGAGAGGAGACUGAAAAUGAAGAAGACGGAGAAGACAUGGAUGGAAUUCUCCAAAGGUUGAUGGAAAUUCGUGACCGCUGUCACCUCAAUGCCAAGGAGAACAUUGCUGCUGCACAGCAAAAACAGAAGCAGCAGUAUGACAACAAGCAUAACUCUUUGAAGAGUUAUCCAGUUGGCAGCAGUGUCAUGCUAUGCUAUAUCGUGUCAUGGCCAAUUCUCAUCGAAUGGGAGGGAAAAUGGACUGCACCUGGAAAGGUCCAUAUAUUGUCCAUAAGAUCCUUGACAAGGGUAGAUACGAGUUGCAGUCUGGGAGCGGCAAAGUAUUGAAAAAGUGUUACAAUGGGGUACUGCUAAAGGAAUACUACUCUCCAGAAACCAACGAUGAAGAAAACACUCUUCCUGGCUCUGAAGACAACCACUCUUCUCCAGUCAAAUCACCUCCUAAGAAUAAACGAAUGCCUGACGUAUACCCUCUCAAAAUCCUGACCUACCCUCUCAAAAGCCUGAUGCACCCUCUCAAAAGCCUGACCUACCCUCUCAAAAGCCUGAUAUACCCUCUCAAAAGC